This 83-nucleotide transfer RNA is filed under the name Ephemerocybe angulata. Its description in RNAcentral is "Coprinellus angulatus tRNA". It matches the Rfam family "tRNA". From Rfam's summary of the family: Transfer RNA (tRNA) molecules are approximately 80 nucleotides in length. Their secondary structure includes four short double-helical elements and three loops (D, anti-codon, and T loops). Further hydrogen bonds mediate the characteristic L-shaped molecular structure. tRNAs have two regions of fundamental functional importance: the anti-codon, which is responsible for specific mRNA codon recognition, and the 3' end, to which the tRNAs corresponding amino acid is attached (by aminoacyl-tRNA synthetases). tRNAs cope with the degeneracy of the genetic code in two manners: having more than one tRNA (with a specific anti-codon) for a particular amino acid; and 'wobble' base-pairing, i.e. permitting non-standard base-pairing at the 3rd anti-codon position. The record is from Rfam by way of RNAcentral. Lineage: Eukaryota; Fungi; Basidiomycota; Agaricomycetes; Agaricales; Psathyrellaceae.
GGUUCUAUAGUGUAGUGGUCAUCACUCGAGAUUCUGACGCAGUCAAUCUUCUCGAAACCCAGGUUCGAACCCUGGUAGGACCU